This 440-nucleotide ribosomal RNA is filed under the name uncultured bacterium. RNAcentral's name for it is "bacterial SSU rRNA". It matches the Rfam family "Bacterial small subunit ribosomal RNA", at positions 338 to 795 of the family's 1533-position model. The record is from RNAcentral.
CCUACGGGUGGCUGCAGCAACGAAUAUUCCGCAAUGGGCGAAAGCCUGACGGAGCGACGCCGCGUGCAGGAUGAAGUCCCUCGGGAUGUAAACUGCUGUCAGGGAUUCGGAAGCACUGACCAAUCCCAAAGGAAGCCUCGGCUAACUCUGUGCCAGCAGCCGCGGUAAUACAGAGGAGGCAAGCGUUGUUCGGAAUCACUGGGCUUAAAGCGCGUGUAGGCGGGAUGCAAGGUACUUUGUGAAAUCCCCCGGCUCAACCGGGGAAUGGCUUGGUAAACCGGCAUUCUUGAGGCAUUCAGAGGCAGGCGGAACCAUGGGUGGAGCGGUGAAAUGCGUAGAGAUCCAUGGGAACACCGGUGGCGAAAGCGGCCUGCUGGGAAUGCUCUGACGCUGAGACGCGAAAGCGUGGGUAGCAAACAGGAUUAGAUACCCGAGUAGUC